This 85-nucleotide transfer RNA is filed under the name Myxococcales bacterium. RNAcentral's name for it is "tRNA-Leu". It matches the Rfam family "tRNA". From Rfam's summary of the family: Transfer RNA (tRNA) molecules are approximately 80 nucleotides in length. Their secondary structure includes four short double-helical elements and three loops (D, anti-codon, and T loops). Further hydrogen bonds mediate the characteristic L-shaped molecular structure. tRNAs have two regions of fundamental functional importance: the anti-codon, which is responsible for specific mRNA codon recognition, and the 3' end, to which the tRNAs corresponding amino acid is attached (by aminoacyl-tRNA synthetases). tRNAs cope with the degeneracy of the genetic code in two manners: having more than one tRNA (with a specific anti-codon) for a particular amino acid; and 'wobble' base-pairing, i.e. permitting non-standard base-pairing at the 3rd anti-codon position. The record is from RNAcentral. Lineage: Bacteria; Pseudomonadati; Myxococcota; Myxococcia; Myxococcales.
GCGAAAGUGGCGGAAUUGGUAGACGCGCUAGGUUGAGGGCCUAGUGUCCGGUUAGGACGUGGGGGUUCGACUCCCCCCUUUCGCA